GACGAACGCUGGCGGCGUGCCUAAUACAUGCAAGUUGAGCGCUGAAGGUUGGUACUUGUACCAACUGGAUGAGCAGCGAACGGGUGAGUAACGCGUGGGGAAUCUGCCUUUGAGCGGGGGACAACAUUUGGAAACGAAUGCUAAUACCGCAUAAAAACUUUAAACACAAGUUUUAAGUUUGAAAGAUGCAAUUGCAUCACUCAAAGAUGAUCCCGCGUUGUAUUAGCUAGUUGGUGAGGUAAAGGCUCACCAAGGCGAUGAUACAUAGCCGACCUGAGAGGGUGAUCCGCCACAUUGGGACUGGGAAACCGCCCCAACUCCUACGGGGGGCAGCAGUAGGGAAUCUUCGGCAAUGGACGAAAGUCUGACCGAGCAACGCCGCGUGAGUGGAGAAGGUUUUCGGAUCGUAAAACUCUGUUGGUAGAGAAGAACGUUGGUGAGAGUGGAAAGCUCAUCAAGUGACGGUAACUACCCAGAAAGGGACGGCUAACUACGUG
RNAcentral lists this ribosomal RNA (497 nucleotides) under uncultured bacterium. Its description in RNAcentral is "partial 16S ribosomal RNA". It matches the Rfam family "Bacterial small subunit ribosomal RNA", at positions 28 to 507 of the family's 1533-position model. The record is from RNAcentral.